CCUACGGUCGGCAGCAGUCGAGAAUCAUUUACAAUGGGGGAAACCCUGAUGGUGCGACGCCGCGUGGGGGAAUGAAGGUCUUCGGAUUGUAAACCCCUGUCAUGUGGGAGCAAAUUAAAAAGAUAGUACCACAAGAGGAAGAGACGGCUAACUCUGUGCCAGCAGCCGCGGUAAUACAGAGGUCUCAAGCGUUGUUCGGAAUCACUGGGCGUAAAGCGUGCGUAGGCUGUUUCGUAAGUCGUGUGUGAAAGGCGCGGGCUCAACCCGCGGACGGCACAUGAUACUGCGAGACUAGAGUAAUGGAGGGGGAACCGGAAUUCUCGGUGUAGCAGUGAAAUGCGUAGAUAUCGAGAGGAACACUCGUGGCGAAGGCGGGUUCCUGGACAUUAACUGACGCUGAGGCACGAAGGCCAGGGGAGCGAAAGGGAUUAGAUACCCCAGUAGUC
RNAcentral lists this ribosomal RNA (446 nucleotides) under uncultured bacterium. RNAcentral's name for it is "partial 16S ribosomal RNA". It matches the Rfam family "Bacterial small subunit ribosomal RNA", at positions 338 to 795 of the family's 1533-position model. The record is from RNAcentral.